Molecule: long non-coding RNA, 213 nt
Filed under: Homo sapiens (human)
Lineage: Eukaryota; Metazoa; Chordata; Mammalia; Primates; Hominidae
Description: HSALNT0368922
Source: RNAcentral
AGACCUAAAGGAAGCAUCACAGCGUGCAUGUAUUGUUGAAGAGGCAGGAGGAGUGUUCCUCUAGAAUGGCAGCAACAAGCAAGCACAAGGAACCAAGCCCUUGGCAGUGGAAGGAAACCAGCUGAAGCAAGACAAGCAGAAAUGAUCACAGUAGCUACCACUUAUUGAGUCUCAAAAAUCAGAAAUCAACUGGCAGGUGCACAAGCAAGAUAC